This 117-nucleotide small RNA is filed under the name Arabidopsis thaliana (thale cress). RNAcentral's name for it is "ATSL105970". The record is from RNAcentral. Lineage: Eukaryota; Viridiplantae; Streptophyta; Magnoliopsida; Brassicales; Brassicaceae.
AUCUUUUAAUUUAAUAAAUGUAGAAUGACACAUGUCAUUUUCUUGUAUGAUGAUGUGUCACUCAUAUGAAGAGAGUUGUCCAACUUUCAUAUAUAUGAUUUGUGUGUAGUUUUUCAU